This 443-nucleotide long non-coding RNA is filed under the name Mytilus galloprovincialis (Mediterranean mussel). Lineage: Eukaryota; Metazoa; Mollusca; Bivalvia; Mytilida; Mytilidae. The record is from RNAcentral.
CUCGUCAGUUGGUGGUGGACAGUUAUAGUUCCUUUCUGCAGGCUAGGAUGAAUGACUUUUCAGGAAAACCAAUUUCACAAAUCAAAACUUUCCUCUAGAUUUCUCCUACAAUAUUCAUCCAGUUUAGUUCUUUUGGUUUAAUUGGACACCGUCCUGAUUUUUAAUUUUGCAAACCAUUCAGUCUCUUGCUUGCAAAUGGUGCAUGAAAAUAGGAUUGGUAUGGCAGUAGACAAGUCUCUUUAAAGUGGGUUUGUGCCCUGAAAAAAAAGUUUUAUAACUUAAGUUUUUUUGAAACUUGUGCAACACACAUACCUAAAUAACUAUAACAUAGAAGAGAGCAUCAUUCGUGUCAAUGUUUUGUUCCUGUUUACAUUGUCAUUGAUAUUUUUUCAGAAAGCCUGAGGCAUAGCUCAUGAAUUCCUGUCAUUACAUCCUAAAUUAAC